RNAcentral lists this ribosomal RNA (475 nucleotides) under uncultured bacterium. RNAcentral's name for it is "bacterial SSU rRNA". It matches the Rfam family "Bacterial small subunit ribosomal RNA", at positions 28 to 508 of the family's 1533-position model. The record is from RNAcentral.
GAUGAACGCUGGCGGCGUGCCUCAAACAUGCAAGUCGAGCGGGGCUAUGUAAUAUCGCAAGGUAGAACAUAGCCUAGCGGCGAACGGGUGAGUAACACGUGGGUAACCUGCCUGGAAGACAGGGAUAACGAUUCGAAAGGGUCGCUAAUACCUGAUAAUAUCCUUUCAUCGCAUGGUGAUAGGAAGAAAGGGGAAACCCGCUUUCAGAUGGGCCCGCGUCCCAUCAGCUAGUUGGUAAGGUAAAGGCUUACCAAGGCGACGACGGGUAGCCGGUCUGAGAGGAUGUACGGCCACACUGGGACUGAGAUACGGCCCAGACUCCUACGGGAGGCAGCAGUUGGGAAUCUUAGGCAAUGGACGAAAGUCUGACCUAGCGACGCCGCGUGAGGGAAGAAGGCCUUCGGGUUGUAAACCUCUGUCAUGGGGGAAAAGUAAGUGACGGUACCCCAAGAGGAAGCCCCUGCUAACUACGUAG